UACGUAGGGUGCGAGCGUUAAUCGGAAUUACUGGGCGUAAAGCGUGCGCAGGCGGUUCGUUGUGUCUGUGGUGAAAGCCCCGGGCUUAACCUGGGAAUGGCCAUGGAAACUGGCGAGCUGGAGUGUGGCAGAGGGGGGUGGAAUUCCGCGUGUAGCAGUGAAAUGCGUAGAGAUGCGGAGGAACACCAGCGGCGAAGGCGGGUAGCUGGGCCAACACUGACGCUGAUGUGCGAAAGCUAGGGGAGCAAACGGG
This 253-nucleotide ribosomal RNA is filed under the name uncultured bacterium. RNAcentral's name for it is "partial 16S ribosomal RNA". It matches the Rfam family "Bacterial small subunit ribosomal RNA", at positions 524 to 776 of the family's 1533-position model. The record is from RNAcentral.